Molecule: long non-coding RNA, 510 nt
Organism: Populus euphratica (Euphrates poplar)
Lineage: Eukaryota; Viridiplantae; Streptophyta; Magnoliopsida; Malpighiales; Salicaceae
Exons: 2
Source: RefSeq, a predicted model, not a curated record
AAGAGGCAAUGACCAUGCAGAUAAACACAAAUAUUUCCAACAUGAAAGCCUUUCUUAUUAUCUUAUGCUUUCUCUUAGCAACCAUCAUCGUCUUCUCUCCCUCAUCCACCAGUGCUGCUCGAGAAUUACUGCAGGUCGGGAAAGAUCCAUAUAGGGGAUCAGGCCCCGUCAAUUCAGGACCUCCAUGCGGUAGGAGCAAACAAAAUUGCCACCCCAGUCCAAAGCCAGGACCAAAUAAACCAAGUAAAAGUUGUCAAUCUUCUGUUAGGCAAUCUGAUUGUGGCCCAAAUUGAAGAUUGAAGGCAAGCAAGGUUGUAUACGUACUUAAGAGUGACAGCAGCUAGUCAUGUCAUGUGUGUGUAUGCUAUUUUCAUUCGAGUCGAGCUAUAUACAUUUAUGUAAGAAAAAUAAAUUAACUUCCAGCAUGAUCGGGUUUUGAUUCCAUGAAAUUGUGUAAUCUUUGUUGAAGUUUAUGCAAAAUAAACAAAGAGCUCGCUAUCUUCUCUUCUA